This 425-nucleotide ribosomal RNA is filed under the name uncultured bacterium. RNAcentral's name for it is "bacterial SSU rRNA". It matches the Rfam family "Bacterial small subunit ribosomal RNA", at positions 356 to 773 of the family's 1533-position model. The record is from RNAcentral.
GGGGAAUAUUGGACAAUGGGCGAAAGCCUGAUCCAGCCAUGCCGCGUGUGUGAAGAAGGCCUUCGGGUUGUAAAGCACUUUAAGCGAGGAGGAAGGUUCGUUACUUAAUACGUAACGGAAUUGACGUUACUCGCAGAAUAAGCACCGGCUAACUCUGUGCCAGCAGCCGCGGUAAUACAGAGGGUGCAAGCGUUAAUCGGAAUUACUGGGCGUAAAGCGCGCGUAGGCGGUUGUGUAAGUUGGAUGUGAAAUCCCCGGGCUUAACCUGGGCACUGCAUUCAAAACUGCACGGCUAGAGUAUGGGAGAGGAAGGUAGAAUUCCAGGUGUAGCGGUGAAAUGCGUAGAGAUCUGGAGGAAUACCGAUGGCGAAGGCAGCCUUCUGGCCUAAUACUGACGCUGAGGUGCGAAAGCAUGGGGAGCAAAC